RNAcentral lists this ribosomal RNA (583 nucleotides) under uncultured bacterium. RNAcentral's name for it is "partial 16S ribosomal RNA". It matches the Rfam family "Bacterial small subunit ribosomal RNA", at positions 355 to 1375 of the family's 1533-position model. The record is from RNAcentral.
UGGGGAAUUUUGGACAAUGGGCGAAAGCCUGAUCCAGCAAUGCCGCGUGUGUGAAGAAGGCCUUCGGGUUGUAAAGCACUUUUGUCCGGAAAGAAAUCCUUGGCUCUAAUACAGUCGGGGGAUGACGGUACCGGAAGAAUAAGCACCGGCUAACUACGUGCCAGCAGCCGCGGUAAUACGUAGGGUGCAAGCGUUAAUCGGAAUUACUGGGCGUAAAGCGUGCGCAGGCGGUUUGCUAAGACCGAUGUGAAAUCCCCGGGCUCAACCUGGGAACUGCAUUGGUGACUGGCAGGCUAGAGUAUGGCAGAGGGGGGUAGAAUUCCACGUGUAGCAGUGAAAUGCGUAGAGAUGUGGAGGAAUACCGAUGGCGAAGGCAGCCCCUGGGCCAAUACUGACGCUCAUGCACGAAAGCGUGGGGAGCAAACAGGAUUAGAUACCCUGGUAGUCCACGCCCUAAACGAUGUCAACUAGUUGUUGGGGAUUCAUUUCCUUAGUAACGUAGCUAACGCGUGAAGUUGACCGCCUGGGGAGUACGGUCGCAAGAUUAAAACUUAAUGAAUUGACGGGGUCAUAGCUGUUUCCU